Molecule: ribosomal RNA, 387 nt
Filed under: uncultured bacterium
Lineage: Bacteria
Description: partial 16S ribosomal RNA
Rfam family: Bacterial small subunit ribosomal RNA
Source: RNAcentral
UGGGAAUUUGGACGAAUUGGGCGAAAGCCUGAUCCAGCAAUGCCGCGUGUGUGAAGAAGGCCUUCGGGUUGUAAAGCACUUUUGUCCGGAAAGAAAUCCUUGGCUCUAAUACAGUCGGGGGAUGACGGUACCGGAAGAAUAAGCACCGGCUAACUACGUGCCAGCAGCCGCGGUAAUACGUAGGGUGCAAGCGUUAAUCGGAAUUACUGGGCGUAAAGCGUGCGCAGGCGGUUUGCUAAGACCGAUGUGAAAUCCCCGGGCUCAACCUGGGAACUGCAUUGGUGACUGGCAGGCUAGAGUAUGGCAGAGGGGGGUAGAAUUCCACGUGUAGCAGUGAAAAUGCGUAGAGAUGUGGAGGAAUACCGAUGGCGAAGGCAGCCCCCUGGG